RNAcentral lists this long non-coding RNA (4017 nucleotides) under Mytilus galloprovincialis (Mediterranean mussel). The record is from RNAcentral. Lineage: Eukaryota; Metazoa; Mollusca; Bivalvia; Mytilida; Mytilidae.
CUAAAUCAUGUGACCAUCUACCUUCCUUUCCAAAGGAAUGUUCUAUUUUUAAGACUGAUUUAGGUAUGUCACUUGUAUCAUUGUUUCUUUGUAUUAGACAGUCACAAUGUAUAGAGACAUCCACACAAACAUACUACAGCUCAAUAAUAUAGAAUUACUAGUUUAAUUUCCAUAAUAUUUUUUUUAUUGUUUUGAUCAACUUUCGAUUCAGUUCUUUUAUUGAAUAUGUUCGAACACGUUGAUUGUUUCACUUUAUUUACCUAUUUUAACAUUUUUUUAUGUUCCCUUCGAGUUUCAAAUUGUAUGGAGGUCUGUCUUUUUUUGUUUUUGUUUUUGUUUUUAGUAAAUUUUUCUUUAUGAAUUUUUGUUAUAACACAAGAACAAUAUAUCGAUCGUUGAAUGUAUUUACCGUGUACAUGUUUACUAAGUAAACACAGUUGAGCAGUAUAAUAUGUUUUAAUUGCAAAAACUAUACGUCAUGCACUAUCAAUUGAUUUGUGGUUGCCUAUAUCGUCCUGCAAAUAUUUUGUACAUGUCCAACGGGAAAAAAAUUACAACAAAUACAAGUAUGUAAUUUAGAAUGUGAGACAUUCCAGUAUUUCAGUGUUAUACAUGUUUUAUACGAAAUAUGUUUCUUUAAUAUAUUUUAAAUUACAAUACUGGUUUGCUAAAAAAAAAAGCUUUUUUAAAAUCUUUUGAUAAAUAAAGUUUCAUAAAAUCGUGAUGCGAAUAUAAAAUGAAACCAGGUGCAUUGGUGUAUAUUUACACGAGGAAUCAUUUAUCUAGUACAUUCUAUUAAUAAUUCAAAUUAUCUCCCCUAGUUUACAAACAUUUAAUCAUGCGACCAUUUAUCUUUCUUUUCCAAAGAAAUAUUCUAUUUAUACAUGUAAGACGUAUUUAGAAAUGUAUCAUUGUGUCUUUGUUUUAUACAGUCACAAUUUACACAGACUCCACACAAAUACACACUUCAACUGAAAAGUCUACAAUUACUUUAAUUACUAUAUAAUGGUCUAUAAUGUUUCUUAUUUUAUUUGGGAAACAUUACAUGAUUUACUAUAUUUACAUGUACCAAUGUGGCCUAUAUUCUAACAUUUUGUUAUGUUCAUGUUUACUAAGUACACAGUUGAUCAGUACAAUAUGUAUUUAUUGCCAAAAACUAUAUACAUGCAUUAUAAAUUAAUUUUUGGUUGCCGAUAUUCUCUGGUGGCAAAUAUUUCGAGAAAAAUUAACAAUAAAUACAGAUAUAUAAUUAAGAAGGGGAGACAUUUCAAUAUUUCAGUGUGUUUAUGUAUGCAAUACUUUUUUUUUUCUAAAUUUCAAUACAGUUUUUCUUAAAAAAACAAAACAAAAAAAACCUCUAAUUUUCACAUCUGCCACAAUGACCGACUAUUAUUACGUCAAAAUUCAGGUAUGGUGGUUUAGACUUGCACGAACUGGGAAAUUAAAUACAUGCAUCAGUUGUGGAGGUCUGUAGACAAUCUGUUUCGAGGCUACAUAGCCGUAGCGUAUCCUCUUUUUUCAAAUAUACAUUCAAUUAUAGGCUGGUAAUCCUUAUUCAUCAUAUUAUAGGUCCUUCAAUUUCCUGUUUUGAUUUAAUUUAAUUGCGCUCGACUUGAACACGCUUACAAUACUAAUAUUUUUUAUUUGCAUGUUUUGGUGGGAAGUUAAUGUUACUCUAGAAUCUGUCAGUUAAAUGACCAUUUUUAGAUAACGAUUUGAAUAUUCUUUGUAAUAAAGUUUUAAUUUAAGAGCAUACAAUCUAUUUUAGGAUUAUGGCCACCAAUUGGGGUAUUUGUGGUGUUUGUGAAAACCUUCAGAUUACCAAACCUUCAGUAGUAUGGUGUUCCGAAUGUGACGAAGGACUAUGUGGAGAGUGUAAGAAACAUCAUGCAGUUUCAAAGGGAACAAAAAGCCAUGAAACCGUUUCUAUUGCCGAAUUACAAAAACUUACCCACCGAAGUCCUGCAAAUCUCUCAGACCUGCAAACUUCAUAAUGAGAAAUACGAGCUGUUCUGUACAAAACACGAUUGUCCAUGUUGUAAAAAAUGUGUGAAAUCUCACAACGAUUGUAAAGGCUUAACUGACAUUAAUGAACUCAUAAAAAACGUCAAAACUUCAAACGCAUUAAAUGAAAUCGAACAAACCGUGCAGGAAGUCGUCGAGAAUAUUAAACGACUAAGCACGAACAGGAAUGAAAAUUUAAAAUCUAUAGAAAACAAGAAAAGAGAAAUUGAAGCAGAAAUAAAACAAACCAGGAUACAAGUAAAUCACCACCUUGAUAAACUUCAGGAUGACUUAAUUAAAGAAUUACUGAGAGUUGAACAACACGAAAAAAGCAAAAUAGAAAACUUGCUGACUACUCUGAAAAAAAAGGAAAAAGAGAUGACUGAAGUACAAGAAAACUUUGUCACUAUUAAACAACAUGCGUCCGAACUUCAAACAUUUUUAACCAUGAAAGAUAUCGAAAAACAUAUUGUAGGUGACGAAAAGUGUAUUCAAUCGAUUACUACGAGUGACUCCACACAUCAAGUCAAUAUUUCAUGUCAGAUUAAUAAGUCUUUACAGCAAAUAACAGCCAACGUGCAGAAGUUUGGAGAAAUUAAUGUCAAUUCUGAUCCAUGUGAUUUUUCCGUUCAGAAAAGGAAGGACAGACAAGCCCAGAUUAUGGUAGCUCUUCCAACCAAAAAUAUCGAUAACCUGACUCUGACAUUACAGAAACGUAUCAAUACAAAGUUGUCAGGUGUCUUUGGCUGUUCACUGCUUCCUGAUUGUAGGAUGGUAUUCUCCUCUAUAAUGACGAUAAAAUAAGAGUAUUUAAGUCUGACGGAUCAAAAGAUUUCGAAAUAAAGGACAUUGGUAAAACGUUUGAUGUGGUAUUUAUUGGUGAUGAUUCUAUUGCUGUUACAUCCGGCGAGUCAAAAAAGAUUAAUAUAAUCGACUUAAAGACGCACAAACUGAAGAAAUCGAUAAAAGUUGAUUCAUACACUGGUGGAGUAACAUACAAAAAUGGACAUUUAAUAUAUUGUGCCAGAGAAAAAGGAAUACAGAUGCUCAGUUUAAAUAACGGAACCAUUACCAAUGUGAGCAGUACCAAACUCCCAGACUAUGCGUACGUAACAACAUUCGGUGACAAACUGAUCUACACAAAUAGGAACAAUCACAGUGUAACCUGCUGUGACUACCAUGGUAACAUACUGUGGACGUUCUGUGAUAAAAGUGCUUCUGCGUAUCCAGUAGGUAUAUCUGUAGACAAUGAUGGUAACGUGUAUGUAGCGGGGUAUUUUACUAACAACGUUGUCGUUAUCUCUCCUGAUGGACAGCGCUGCAGACAAAUUCUCACACGUGAAGAUGAUUUUAGCGAGCCAUGGACUCUGCAUUAUGACACAUCGACCAAUGAAUUGUUAGUUGCUAAUGAAUCCAAUGAAGCAUUUUUGUAUGAUGUUAAAUGAUUAGAAAUGAGGAGUGCUUUUUCCAGAAUUCAAUUUUUUUUUGUUGAUCUCGAUUACUAACAUCCUUUAAAAGGAAUAAUACUAAUUUUGUGUGAUCUAAUUUAGAUUUGUUUAAAGUUAUUUUUUAGUGUUACUAACUGGCUGUUUCUGUUUCUGUUUUGGCCCCAUCAUAGAUUCGAGUUUAUUUGUAUUGAACCCGAAUCCUGAAGACAGCUUAUCGAGAAUCUAGAGACAAAUAUUAGAGAAAAUAUUAACUACUUACGAUUCAUUAUAAUUUAUAGGUACACGUUUAGGUGAACUACGUUGGUAUAAAUAAACUACGAAAUAACAUUUUCAAUAAGGUUUAUAUUUGUAAGGAUUAAACUAAAAUUUGAAGAAAACGCGAAAUAGAAUUGAGAUGCGGGAUAUACGUUAAUGAGACAAGAACCCAACGUCGACAAGAUACACUAUAAAUACACCACCAGACAUUCAACAUGAAUAAAACAAAAUGGUGGGUCUAUGUAAGUGAGACAACAAUCCGUGGCAUGAUUGUCAAUCAGAAGAUGUGGUAUGAUUGUCACGAAGGAGA